This 253-nucleotide ribosomal RNA is filed under the name uncultured bacterium. RNAcentral's name for it is "partial 16S ribosomal RNA". It matches the Rfam family "Bacterial small subunit ribosomal RNA", at positions 524 to 776 of the family's 1533-position model. The record is from RNAcentral.
UACGUAGGGUGCAAGCGUUAAUCGGAAUUACUGGGCGUAAAGCGUGCGCAGGCGGUUGUGCAAGACCGAUGUGAAAUCCCCGGGCUUAACCUGGGAAUGGCAUUGGUGACUGCACGGCUAGAGUGUGUCAGAGGGGGGUAGAAUUCCACGUGUAGCAGUGAAAUGCGCAGAUAUCGGGAGGAACACCAGUAGCGAAGGCGGCACUCUGGGCCGGAACUGACGCUGAGGAGCGAAAGCGUGGGUAGCAAACAGG